Non-coding RNA from Rhizobium sp., 109 nucleotides. Lineage: Bacteria; Pseudomonadati; Pseudomonadota; Alphaproteobacteria; Hyphomicrobiales; Rhizobiaceae. The record is from Rfam.
AUACCCCAUGAUGCUCAGGUCCGCCGCAUCUCCUGGGUCGUGGGGUCGGUCGACUGGUUGCACAACAAAAGCGGUUCCUCGUGCCGUGCUGCAGCUGGUCGACCCCCAU